UUUUUUUUUUUUUUUUUUUUUUGUAUUUUUAGCAGAGACGGGAUUUCACCAUGUUAGCCAGGAUGGUCUCAAUCUCCUGACCUCGUGAUCCACCCACCUCGGCCUCCCAAAGUGCUGGGAUUACAGGCGUGCACCACCACGCCCGGCCUGUAGCACAUGAUUUUAGGGCAUUCACAGUUCACCUUUGAAGCCUCUUCUUUUAAGAACCUCCUCACACAGAGUAAGUAAAGAAGAAUAUUAAAGUUGGAACCCUGAGGGACAUUGUCACCAAAAGCGUUAGCAAAAAAGGACAACUCAGCCUAAGAAACUGAGGAUGAAGAAAUGACACCAUGGAUUCCAGACAGCUGCCGAUUUUCAGAAGUAGGAAAGAUGCAGCAAUAACAAAUGUUAGUACGAGGCUAAAUGAAGUGAGAAGUAAACUUUGGCCACUGGUGUGUAUUGGUCUAGAGGUUUGCUGGUCCAGAAGCCAGACUGUUGUAAGAAGACAGAGACAUGAAGAAGAAAAAUCUGAAUUUGUGUAGGCACACUUUCAAGAAACUAGCAACUAGGAAGUUUGAAUGAGUAACAGAGGUAAGAUAACAGAUUUUUUACUUAUUGUUUCUGGAUAGGGUUGAGCUAAAACAUGAGCCUGCUUCUUGGCCAAAGGGAAAUAGCAGAAGAGUAAGAAAGAUUGAGAUAAAGUAGAGAGAAAAAAAUUAAUGCAGGAAAGAAAGGAAAAGAAAAAUUAUUGCAAAAAGAGAAAUUAUUGGAAAAAUUAAUGCCUAGAAAGAAACGUUAAAGAAAAUUAUCUUAAUCAUGGCAAUUUAAUGGAGGAGAGGUGACACUUUCUAUGAGACAGAAAAGAAAGAAAACACCUUUCAGCUGUGGAUAAUGGCAGACACGGAAGAAAGGAGAAGACAGAGGAGAUUGUACUAGAGGAUAUUUACCUUCUCUGUAAAUUACAAGGCAAGGUCACAAGUGCUGGGAAGGGACGUUACGUGCUUAAUGGUGGAGGUGGGAAAGGCAGUCAUAUGUUAUAGAUAUUAGUACAGUAUCCUUUUUCACCACCAUGUGUUCAAUACCUAGCACAAUGCAUGGCACACGAUGGAAAAUCUCUAGAUAUACAUUGAAUGAACAACUGCAAUUUGAGGAAUUUCGGUGCAUGGAAAAAUGUAGAACAAGCUGAUAGGUCAAAUGAGAAUAAAAGCCAACCAGGGAGUAGUAAAAGGUGUUCCAGAUAUUUUUAAGAGGUUUAAGAAAAGGAAGCCCAGAAGUACUGUAAUUUAUGACCUAAUAGAGAGCUUCAGAUGACCUGCAGUGAUCCUAGGAAGAAAGGAUCUAUAGCCUCCUCAGGAGCUAUUCAACCUUGCAGUCCUCAUACAUCCUUAGAAAACAGGUAUCCAUUCAAUGAAUAAGUAAUUACUGACAGUUGGCAGAUAACACUUGUAAGUUUCUUAUCCAACACCAAAUACUCUUAGCAGAGAUGGACAGUGUAGAAAAAAUAGUUAAUUACACUGUCAGCUGGUCACCUGGACUCUGUGGAUCCCACAAAAGUAAAAGGAAUGACAAGUAGGACUGACCCACAGCUCUGCAGCACAUGUCAGUCUAGAUAGAGGGGACUCAUUCAUCUGCGCUUUGUAUCCUUUCUCAUGUUGAAAACCAUUCAAACCGAAAAACAAAAAUCCCUCUCAAAAUCCAAAAUAACAGUCACUGAACAAUAGAGAAUGGAAGGCAUAUUACUAAAUCUCUCCCAGUGAAGGGCUGUUGAACUAGAGUCCCAGUGACUUGGGCUACAUGAUGUGUUACAGAUGCUGUGUUCAGGUGUCUUUUGAAUUCACAUUAUAUCUAAUAAAUCACAGUAUGUUCACUUGUCCUAUUAAAACUGUAUUCUACCUUACCAGGUCUGAAUAAUUUGUAUAAAAUUGAUUGCUACAGUUCUCACUAGAAGCUCUAAUUGCAUUCAUGGUAUAACUUAAAAUGAUAACCUUAUCUUAAUUAGUAGCAUGAUGCAGAAAUGCUUUUGAAAGCCUCUGAGAACUAACCUGCAUUUUUAAACACAAGCCCUGGGGCUUAAAAAAAAAAAAAAAAAGAUUCCUGUUGAAUAUUGCUGAAUACAUGAGCCAAUGUUAAUUUAUCAAAACUACAAAAGAAAAUUAUCCACACAGCAAGAGAGACUAAACAAUGCAGCCCACACCUCCUCUGAUCAAGCAGUUUUGCGCCUCUCAUUGUAGAAUCACACAAGAUGUCAUUCUAACGCUUAGUUAGACCUCUGCAGAUUGUUGACACCCACAGAAGAGUCUUUCUCUGGUUUUUCUAAUGACACUAUCGAUAAUCAGUAGAGCAUGACAAUGGCGGAAUGAGUAGACAAACAGAUUGGAGGGUACGUUUUGUCUUCACACGGGAUUAAUUACCAUACAGAUCUCCACUAACAAUCCCAUAGGCUCCCAUAUCAGUCUUCUUCCCCAGUCAAUCCUAGUUCAUUUAAUUCCAGCCCUCCUCAUCCAUCGCAAGCUUUCUAACACCCCUUUCUGAUCUGCCCCUGUUGAGAAUGUCAGAGUGACGCUCUAAAAAUAAAGGUUCCCUGUGGGAGAGGUUACACUCUGUGUGUAUGUUUUCUGUAUUAUCACUGUGGUGAAAAGAUGUCCAAUAGCUCACCGAUGAUAACCAUUACCUAAGAGAGCACCUCAGAACAUCUGAACAUUAACAUAUCAAACUAUUGCCUUAAACUAUAUUAUGGCAAAAUAAAAGACUUUGCAAGUAAGUCAUUAUUGUAAACACCCAAAGUAGAUGUCACAAGUUUUUCAACAUAAUGCUUGUAAAUUGAGGCAUUUUCUAAUAAUCACUAUGCAGCUGGGCAUAUCUCCUCAAAUUUCCACCAUAAAAUAAAUAUUAGGUAGACUUCUGUUAAUCAACCAGAACUAUUAACUAUAGCUACCCCCAGAAAUGUUGAAUAGAUGCUAUUUCUAGAGGAAUACUCUUCCAAGCUUGGCUUCUGAGAUCUGUAGUUUCUUCCUCUAAGCCAGUACCACUUGGGGAAUAGCUGCCUAUAAAACAAUUUAGCAUUCCCUUCUUUGAAAAUGUAAAUAGUUCAAAAAUUUUAAAAGUAUCUUCUCCUUACUAGAAGUCAACAAUUUUGUCUAGAAGACAGUGGUUAGCACUAACAGAGGAUAUUAUAGUAUGAUAUUAUCAUUACAAUUGAAUAAAACUAGUGGAAAUUAAUAUGAUAUAAGCACCUAAUAUUUUAUUGUAGUUCCAUCUAGCUUAAUUUGUAAGCAUAGAAUAUAGUAAAAUUAAAUAGGAGAAAACAGGUACAUAAUAACGUUAAUGUGUGCCAAUAUUAAUGUGCUUUUAAAAAACAAUUUUUUAAAUUAUCAAGGUCUUUUCAAUAAGAGCAUGAAAGCACUAUUUUAAAAUACCCGCUACAUGCAAGAAGCUAUGCAUUGUAACUGAUGUGAAAGUAAACUGCUCUUACAAGAUAGCAGGGCAUCGAUUUAAUUCAUGUUAAGCUUGUCUGCAAUAAGAUAUGUCAUUUCAGAGAAGUAUUAGUAUGUGUAGUGUAUAUGGGCAUAUAUUUACAUAAGCAAAUUAUCCAUACCUUGAAAGUCCCAUAAAUGUGUAUAUUACUAGGCACAUUUCUUCUUAUUUAAAACUGUAUCUCUGGACUUGAGUAAGGAGAUUAAAGACUAAACAUAUAUUAGCACUGUGAAAAUUCAGCCUGAAAAACGUCAGGAUAAGAGAUAUUUUCAUCAACAGAUAUUUCAAAUUGACUGACCCCAAAUCUGUUUAAGACUGUUCUAAAGAAGGAAAAGCCCUCAUAUAAUUUAACUUGCUUUUCAUUUCGUUGGUCUGACAGCCACAUACUGAUAACAUCUUCAGGUUGCAAAUCCUGCCUUUCUACCAUUGCAGUUAUAGUCUCAUUUACAACAUUAAUGUGCUAAAUAGGGACUGCAUAAAAAUCUUCAAUUAUUUUCAGACAGUCUGUGCAACAUUGCUGCUAAUUCUAAUGCCCAGGAAGCACAAUCAUCAUAACCUCUGCUAUGAUCCCAACAAGGAUUCCUCAAGCUCCUUAAAAAUGCAUUAAUCGCCCCUAUGAAAGUCACUGCUUGCUUUUAACGAAGAUAAUGUAUGUUACUGGGAUUAUACCACUGCAUGCAAAAUCAUUAAAGAAAGGGAGACCAGAAUUUAUGAUUAAGCCUUUGGACAGCAGGGCACUAUUUUAACCAUAAAAAUCACAAUCUGCAGAGACAGUGGCCAAAGCAGAGGAACCAUUAAAGACUUAUAAUUAGCAUCAAUCACGGUGACACUACUGUUGGCAUCUUUAUUACCUUAAAUACACUAAUCAAAUACUUCUGCAUUGAGAUGGAAAGAUUGAUAGGCAGCUAGACAUGGAAAACAUCUCUAUGGAGAACAACUUUAAAUUAUCUGUUCGAAAGGUUUUAAAAAAAAAAAAAGUAUUGGUAUUAGUCAAGUGGGAUUCUAACACACAGCUCCAAAAGACAAGUACUCAGAAUGGACCUAUGAGGUUGUCAGGGUCCUCAUGUGGAUGCUUUAACACUAAGCAUUUCUCCAAACAAACACAUAUUUGCAUGUCCCCUUUGGGAACCCACUGGACUUGCUUCAUUUGGAUGAAAAAUAUAAAUAAAUAAAUAACUUAAGGGAACAUAAGCAUCAGGCUACUGUGUCCUAUAAAUAAACAGCCAAGCACUCCUGCCCAACAUUUAUAUAUUUUCUAGCCUUCUCCGUACACGGGCACACGGAAAUGAAAGACAAAAGGAGAGCUGAACUUAGUACUAUUUACAUAAUUACAAUAGGGGCUGUCAAUAUUAUCUAAUUGCAUCGCUGCUCAAUUUCAUACCACACAGACUCUGAAAUAUGCUCUUAUUAUUACUGCUCAUAUAAAUAUUUCAGUCUUAAUGAACAAGAAGCCGCUCAGCCUCUCUGCCACCCCUUGAGCCCAUAUGGCAUUAUACCUUAAUGACUGUAAUUUUUAAAAGGCGUUCUUCUCCAAACACUUUCUGUGAACACUAUUUCAGUGUUCAUAAACUGAAUUCUUGAGGUUAAGGGCACACACCACAAAGAAAGGAUAUGAAGUAGUUUGCCUAUAAAAAAGUCUGGCUGGAAUCAAUUCAGAAUCACGGAUAAAGAUUUGGCAAGGCAUCUCCCAAGGGUACAACUUCAUCUUUGCCAAACGAAAUAAUAAUUGCAAAGACUUUCGUUAUAAAGAUGAUGAGCCCCAACAAUUGUGUUGGCUCCAAAGUUCAACUUUUACUUACAAGUUCCUUAAUUGGCACACCCACCACUAGGUUUAAAAAAUAUAUUACAUUUCCUUUACACCUGUCUCUAAAAAAAAAAAA
This 5333-nucleotide long non-coding RNA is filed under the name Macaca fascicularis (crab-eating macaque). Its description in RNAcentral is "lncRNA (ENSMFAG00000050603.1)". Lineage: Eukaryota; Metazoa; Chordata; Mammalia; Primates; Cercopithecidae. The record is from RNAcentral.